Long non-coding RNA from Brassica napus (rape), 1463 nucleotides. RefSeq lists it as uncharacterized. The record is from RefSeq and is a predicted model, not a curated record. NCBI's taxonomy places the organism in Eukaryota, Viridiplantae, Streptophyta, Magnoliopsida, Brassicales, Brassicaceae. The transcript is spliced from 4 exons.
UUAACCAUAAUCCUUUUCAUCUCUUAGAAACUGUAGGCUUACCGAUUCCCUUUCACCUUCUCCGGCGAUGUAACGAUGUAGUUAUGACCUUCAAUCACGUUAUCCCACUAAACUCACAACCACCCCUCUUCAUUGCUUCUUUAAUUACACAUUUUAAAGCUUAAUUAUGUGUAUAUCUACACCAUCUGAGAGCCCCCUGCAGUUCCCUUACUUUCAUAAAACCUAAAAAUAUAUCGCUCAUGUUCUCUUUUAAUGGACGAUAGUUGGCAAUUUCUCAGAUUUGAGUCAAGCGGCUACACACAGUCAGUUCAGGCAAGAUUCCUAUGUGUUUUUCGGAAGCCAAUAAAGUAAUGAAAAGAGGUGAGCUGAUGGGUAUUGAUAUGCUUAUGAUGGUUCCUAUUUUUAUUUGCAGUAAAUCAAUGUUAUAUUCUUUUUUUCUUCUCAGGAUAGACAAAUCCAGGAAUCAAUUAAUGUGCAACUAUUCAACACCUUAAAAAAAAUUGAAGUAUCUAGCUUAAUGUUUUGUAUUUCAUAUGAAGGAGCAACCCUUACUUCCGGUUUGGAGAAAUCCAUGUUUCUAUUAGAUUUACGGAGCAAACCGUGUUUGUUGAGGUCGCUGAAACCGAUUCCAGUGGAGAGUUUUGGGUUUUGCAAUUACGAACACCUUAUGGUAUUGGCUAACACCAACACAGAUUUUUUUUCCAGCAUUGCAGGCCGCCUUUUCCUCAAUGCAACCUCCGGAACACAUUUCUACUUUUACCAAGAAAGUGUAACCAGCCAGAGCUUUCUGCAAGACUAAGUUUUGUGGAUCCGACAUUGGUAGCUCCUCCACUCCUUCCAAGUAUGGCGGUGUACAGAAAAUUGAGUUAGCAACAAUUGUGGAGUUUAUUGUCUGUCGUGAAUUCACCACCUCAGGCGGUACGGUAGAAUUCCACUGCACUGGCCAAGUCAAUGACAUUGAGAAAACUGAUGGACCAAUGCUUCAUCAUCAAAGCUUUGCUUACAAGGAGGUGGUGACUACCCUGGAAAUGAUAUUCUGGAUGCUGUGACUCUCACUAUUAACCCUCUCAUGUGAUGAGGAGCAGUGGUUCACAUAAUACCACAUGAAGUAACACCGCUCCAAUUUUUGAAGGAAGCAUGGCUGAGUCAGCAGUACUACCUGCUCAACCUGAUGCAUUUUUAGCACCGGAAAGGAUACCACAGAGCCUGAGAUCUCCAACCAUAGAGAUCCAUGACAAUAUUAAUAUAGGUGAAGAACCAAUUCCACACUGAACGUGCUAAGUUUGAGUCAAUAAUUUUUCUAUUAUAUAGAUUGUCGUCUUUUUAGUUUGCUUGGUUAUAUACUUAUAUCAUAUAUGAAUACGUUUAUCUCAUUACUGUAGGAAUCUUUUACGGGUCUAGCUAUUACAUAUUCCUAAAAUUGUUUAAUUUGUUUAAUUUCCAAUACUUGAUUCAUCAUCAUA